CCGUCAAUUCAUUUGAGUUUCACCCUUGCGAGCAUACUCCCCAGGCGGUGCACUUACCGCGUUAGCUCCGGCACUGAAGCAUCCACCCCAGCACCUAGUGCACAUCAUUGACAGUGUGGACUACCAGGGUAUCUAAUCCUGUUUGAUCCCCACACUUUCGCACCUCAGCGUCAAUCAUCGGCCAGGAGCUCGCCUUCGCCACUGGUAUUCUUCCAGAUCUCUACAGAUUUCACCCCUACACCUGGAAUUCUAGCUCCCUCUCCGUGAUUCAAGCUCAGCAGUACCCAACGCAAUCCACCGGUUGAGCCGGUGACUUUCACGCCAGGCUUACCAAGCCGCCUACAUGCCCUUUACGCCCAGUAAUUCCGAACAACGCUCGCCCCCUACGUGUUACCGCGGCUGCUGGCACGUAGUUAGCCGGGGCUUAUUCGCCGGUUCAUGUCAUCGCACGGGCAUUACCUCCCAUGCUUAUUCUUCCCCAGCAAAAGGACUUUACAACCUUUCGGCCUUCAUCAUCCACGCGGCGUCGCUCCGUCAGACUUUCGUCCAUUGCGGAAUAUUCUUAGCUGCUGCCUCCCGUAGGAGU
Molecule: ribosomal RNA, 586 nt
Filed under: uncultured bacterium
Lineage: Bacteria
Description: partial 16S ribosomal RNA
Source: RNAcentral